Molecule: long non-coding RNA, 220 nt
Organism: Sinocyclocheilus anshuiensis
Lineage: Eukaryota; Metazoa; Chordata; Actinopteri; Cypriniformes; Cyprinidae
Exons: 3
Source: RefSeq, a predicted model, not a curated record
CGUGGUCAUGGAGCAACUAUCAGACAGAGCGCUGAAGAAGAGGGUUGUGUGCUGGAAAAACGACACCGCUGGAAGAGAUGGCCGUGCGGCAGGGCAGAGAGGGUCAGGAGGUCGAGAUCAGUGAUGCGUCUGGACAGGAAGUGAUCUUUCAGGUGUCGUCUGGUUAAGGAUGGCAGAGACACAAUGCUCUACUUGGAUGUGUAGGAAGUUAUUCCAGGAG